AGGGUUUGAUCAUGGCUCAGGACGAACGCUGGCGGCGUGCCUAAUACAUGCAAGUCGAGCGGAGUCAUAAGAGAUGCUUGCAUCUCUAAUGACUUAGCGGCGAACGGGUGAGUAACACGUGGGUAACCUACCCAUCACAGGGGGAUAACAUUCGGAAACGGAUGCUAAUACCGCAUAGGUUCUUUGACCGCAUGGUCGAAGAAGGAAAAGAGGCCUUAGUGCUUCUGGUGAUGGAUGGACCCGCGGCGUAUUAGCUAGUUGGUGAGGUAAAGGCUCACCAAGGCAUUGAUACGUAGCCGACCUGAGAGGGUAAUCGGCCACAUUGGGACUGAGACACGGCCCAAACUCCUACGGGAGGCAGCAGUAGGGAAUCUUCCGCAAUGGACGAAAGUCUGACGGAGCAACGCCGCGUGAGUGAAGAAGGUUUUCGGAUCGUAAAACUCUGUUGUUAGAGAAGAACAAGUGCUAGAGUAACUGCUAGCGCCAUGACGGUAUCUAACCAGAAAGCCACGGCUAACUACGUGCCAGCCGCCGCGGUAAUAC
Molecule: ribosomal RNA, 543 nt
Filed under: uncultured bacterium
Lineage: Bacteria
Description: bacterial SSU rRNA
Rfam family: Bacterial small subunit ribosomal RNA
Source: RNAcentral